RNAcentral lists this ribosomal RNA (450 nucleotides) under uncultured Peptostreptococcaceae bacterium. RNAcentral describes it as "bacterial SSU rRNA". It matches the Rfam family "Bacterial small subunit ribosomal RNA", at positions 28 to 505 of the family's 1533-position model. The record is from RNAcentral. Lineage: Bacteria; Bacillati; Bacillota; Clostridia; Peptostreptococcales; Peptostreptococcaceae.
GAUGAACGCUGGCGGCGUGCCUAACACAUGCAAGUCGAGCGAUCUUCUUCGGAAGAGAGCGGCGGACGGGUGAGUAACGCGUGGGUAACCUGCCCUAUACACAUGGAUAACAUACCGAAAGGUAUGCUAAUACAGGAUAAUAUGUUUUGAUCGCAUGGUCGAAAUAUCAAAGCUCCGGCGGUAUAGGAUGGACCCGCGUCUGAUUAGCUAGUUGGUAAGGUAAUGGCUUACCAAGGCGACGAUCAGUAGCCGACCUGAGAGGGUGAUCGGCCACAUUGGAACUGAGACACGGUCCAAACUCCUACGGGAGGCAGCAGUGGGGAAUAUUGCACAAUGGGCGAAAGCCUGAUGCAGCAACGCCGCGUGAGCGAUGAAGGCCUUCGGGUCGUAAAGCUCUGUCCUCAAGGAAGAUAAUGACGGUACUUGAGGAGGAAGCCCCGGCUAACUACG